GAUGAAGAACGUAUCGAAAUGCGAUAAGUAGUGUGAAUUGCAGAAUUCAGUGAAUCAUCGAAUCUUUGAACGCACAUUGCGCUCCUUGGUAUCCCGAGGGGCAUGCCUGUUCGAGCGUCAUUUCACCACUCAAGCCUGGCUUGGUGUUGGGCGACGUCCUCUUUGGGGACGCGCCUCGAAACGCUCGGCGGCGUGGCACCGGCUUUAAGCGUAGCAGAAUCUUUCGCUUUGGAAGUCGGGGCCCCGUCUGCCGGAAGACCUGCUCGCAAGGUUGACCUCGGAUCAGGCAGGGAUACCCGCUGAACUUAAGCAUAUCAAUAAGCGGAGGA
This 329-nucleotide unclassified non-coding RNA is filed under the name soil metagenome. RNAcentral describes it as "partial contains 5.8S ribosomal RNA, internal transcribed spacer 2, and large subunit ribosomal RNA". The stretch from base 1 to 120 matches the Rfam family "5.8S ribosomal RNA", at positions 35 to 154 of the family's 154-position model. The record is from RNAcentral.